Molecule: non-coding RNA, 129 nt
Filed under: Drosophila pseudoobscura
Lineage: Eukaryota; Metazoa; Arthropoda; Insecta; Diptera; Drosophilidae
Also listed under: 1 other name
Description: U4atac minor spliceosomal RNA
Rfam family: U4atac minor spliceosomal RNA
About the family: U4atac is an essential component of the minor U12-type spliceosome complex which is required for removal of the rarer class of eukaryotic introns (AT-AC, U12-type).
Source: RNAcentral
CACUUCCUUGUCUUGGGGAGCAGAAAUGUCCAAUGAACGUCUAGUGAGGGCAUUGCUGCUGACACCAAUUACAUUUAUUCCCGUCUGCCAGGCCACUCACUGUGGCUGGUCUUCGGAAUUUUUGGCCAA